UACGUAGGUGGCGAGCGUUAUCCGGAAUUAUUGGGCGUAAAGAGCGCGCAGGUGGUUGAUUAAGUCUGAUGUGAAAGCCCACGGCUUAACCGUGGAGGGUCAUUGGAAACUGGUCGACUUGAGUGCAGAAGAGGGAAGUGGAAUUCCAUGUGUAGCGGUGAAAUGCGUAGAGAUAUGGAGGAACACCAGUGGCGAGGCGGCUUCCUGGUCUGUAACUGACACUGAGGCGCGGAAGCGUGGGGAGCAAACAGGAUUAGAUACCCGU
RNAcentral lists this ribosomal RNA (265 nucleotides) under uncultured prokaryote. RNAcentral describes it as "partial 16S ribosomal RNA". It matches the Rfam family "Bacterial small subunit ribosomal RNA", at positions 524 to 789 of the family's 1533-position model. The record is from RNAcentral.